RNAcentral lists this transfer RNA (69 nucleotides) under Rattus norvegicus (Norway rat). It matches the Rfam family "tRNA". Rfam says of the family: Transfer RNA (tRNA) molecules are approximately 80 nucleotides in length. Their secondary structure includes four short double-helical elements and three loops (D, anti-codon, and T loops). Further hydrogen bonds mediate the characteristic L-shaped molecular structure. tRNAs have two regions of fundamental functional importance: the anti-codon, which is responsible for specific mRNA codon recognition, and the 3' end, to which the tRNAs corresponding amino acid is attached (by aminoacyl-tRNA synthetases). tRNAs cope with the degeneracy of the genetic code in two manners: having more than one tRNA (with a specific anti-codon) for a particular amino acid; and 'wobble' base-pairing, i.e. permitting non-standard base-pairing at the 3rd anti-codon position. Lineage: Eukaryota; Metazoa; Chordata; Mammalia; Rodentia; Muridae. The record is from Rfam by way of RNAcentral.
GGGGAUUUGGCUCAAUGGUAGAGCACUUGCCUAGCAAGCACAAGGUCCUGGGUUCGGUCCCCAGCUCCG